This 708-nucleotide ribosomal RNA is filed under the name uncultured marine bacterium. Its description in RNAcentral is "bacterial SSU rRNA". It matches the Rfam family "Bacterial small subunit ribosomal RNA", at positions 50 to 804 of the family's 1533-position model. The record is from RNAcentral.
UACACAUGCAGUCGAACGAAGUAGCAAUACUUAGUGGCAGACGGGUGAGUAACAUGUAGGUAUCUACCCUUUGGCCUGGAAUAACACGAGGAAACUUGUGCUAAUACCGGAUAAGUCUUUACAGAGAAAGCUUUAUGCACCAUUGGAUGAGCCUGCACUAGAUUAGUUUGUUGGUGGGGUAAUGGCCUACCAAGACUGUGAUCUAUAGCUGAUUUGAGAGGAUGAUCAGCCACAUUGGGACUGAGACACGGCCCAAACUCCUACGGGAGGCAGCAGUGGGGAAUCUUGCACAAUGGAGGAAACUCUGAUGCAGCGAUGCCGCGUGAGUGAAGAAGGCCCUUGGGUUGUAAAGCUCUUUCGUCGGGGAAGAAAAUGACUGUACCCGAAUAAGAAGGUCCGGCUAACUUCGUGCCAGCAGCCGCGGUAAUACGAAGGGACCUAGCGUAGUUCGGAAUUACUGGGCUUAAAGAGUUCGUAGGUGGUUGAAAAAGUUGGUGGUGAAAUCCCAGAGCUUAACUCUGGAACUGCCAUCAAAACUUUUCAGCUAGAGUAUGAUAGAGGAAAGCGGAAUUUCUAGUGUAGAGGUGAAAUUCGUAGAUAUUAGAAAGAAUACCAAUUGCGAAGGCAGCUUUCUGGAUCAUUACUGACACUGAGGAACGAAAGCAUGGGUAGCGAAGAGGAUUAGAUACCCUCGUAGUCCAUGCCGUA